Molecule: ribosomal RNA, 424 nt
Filed under: uncultured prokaryote
Description: bacterial SSU rRNA
Rfam family: Bacterial small subunit ribosomal RNA
Source: RNAcentral
CGACGAAUCUUCCGCAAUGGACGCAAGUCUGACGGAGCAAUGCCGCGUGUGGGAUGAAGCAUCUUCGAUGUGUAAACCACUGUCAGGUCCUAGGACCAACGACCAGGACCAGAGGAAGGGCCGGCUAACCUCGUGCCAGCAGCCGCGGUAAUACGAGGGGCCCAAGCGUUAAUCGGAAUCACUGGGCUUAAAGCGUGCGCAGGCGGCCUUGCAAGCAUCUCGUGAAAUCCCACGGCUCAACCGUGGAACUGCGGGGUGAACUGCAAGGCUUGAGGCAGGUAGGGGCUGAUGGAACCAUGAGUGGAGCGGUGAAAUGCGUAGAUAUUCAUGGGAACGCCGAUGGGGAAGCCGAUCAGCUGGGCCUGUCCUGACGCUCAGGCACGAAAGCGUGGGGAGCAAACAGGAUUAGAUACCCCCGUAGUCC